Molecule: ribosomal RNA, 332 nt
Filed under: uncultured eukaryote
Lineage: Eukaryota
Description: partial 18S ribosomal RNA
Rfam family: Eukaryotic small subunit ribosomal RNA
Source: RNAcentral
CCCUUAGAUGUUCUGGGCUGCACGCGCGCUACCCUGUCGGAUUCAGCGAGUCAUAUCCUUAACCGAAAGGUUUGGGUAAUCUUUUGAAAGUCCGACGUGAUGGGGAUUGAUCAUUGCAAUUAUUGAUCAUGAACGAGGAAUUCCUAGUAAGCGCGAGUCAUCAGCUCGCGUUGAUUACGUCCCUGCCCUUUGUACACACCGCCCGUCGCUACUACCGAUUGAAUGGUUUAGUGAGAUCUUCGGAUUGGCGCCUACGCGGCUUCUCUGAGGCCACGCUGGAUGCCGAAAAGUUGCUCAAACUGUAUCAUUUAGAGGAAGUAAAAGUCGUAACA